This 660-nucleotide small RNA is filed under the name Pongo abelii (Sumatran orangutan). RNAcentral describes it as "retained intron". Lineage: Eukaryota; Metazoa; Chordata; Mammalia; Primates; Hominidae. The record is from RNAcentral.
UUUAUUUCAUAUGUUGUCUCCCCUCCUUGACUGUCUUCAUGAAUCCGAAUAACCUCCCAGAUUAUGUCUAUUUAUUCAGCAUGUCCUCUUAAUCCUCUUACCUGCAGUAUAAAGCAACACCAAAAUAUAUAAAAUAAUAAAACUAUAGAGCAAAGUAAGGAAAUGGUUGCUGGAAAAAUCAGAAUGGUCAUCAUUUCUAAGUUGGAAAGAGAAUUGUGAUUUGGAAUGGACACAUGGUGACUACAGAGAUGCAGCUCUGUUCUGUUUCUUGGAAACAGGAGUGUUUGCUUUAUAAUUAUUUAUUAACUAUAGAUUUGUGUCUUUUGAGCUUUUCUGAAUAUAUGCUGUAUUUCACAAUAAAGAUGUUCAAAAAAUUAAAUGAAAACUCUGAUAUUUUAAAUGCAAGAAGUGAGGCAUAUCGGUUAACUUCUUUGUUUUUGUAGGCAGGUGUUAUUGCACUGUUUGUAUGAUUCAGACCCACCUACUCUGCUGGAAACAAGCAGAAAUUCAACCCACGUUUACCAUGUAGGUUGUUGCUUACUUGCCUUUCCCAGGCAGAAGUGGCCAGUGUUUGGGUUGAAAGGAUCCGGGAACAUCCAGCUAUUUAUGAUAGCAUUUGCUUCAUUAUGUCAAGUUCAACAAAUGUUGACUUGCUGGUGA